GAGGUUAUAGCUUAGUGGUAGAGCGCAUGCCUAGCAUGCAUGAAGUCCUGGGUUCAAUCCCAAGUACCUCCA
Molecule: transfer RNA, 72 nt
Filed under: Camelus ferus (Wild Bactrian camel)
Lineage: Eukaryota; Metazoa; Chordata; Mammalia; Artiodactyla; Camelidae
Rfam family: tRNA
About the family: Transfer RNA (tRNA) molecules are approximately 80 nucleotides in length. Their secondary structure includes four short double-helical elements and three loops (D, anti-codon, and T loops). Further hydrogen bonds mediate the characteristic L-shaped molecular structure. tRNAs have two regions of fundamental functional importance: the anti-codon, which is responsible for specific mRNA codon recognition, and the 3' end, to which the tRNAs corresponding amino acid is attached (by aminoacyl-tRNA synthetases). tRNAs cope with the degeneracy of the genetic code in two manners: having more than one tRNA (with a specific anti-codon) for a particular amino acid; and 'wobble' base-pairing, i.e. permitting non-standard base-pairing at the 3rd anti-codon position.
Source: Rfam by way of RNAcentral